UUCAUCAAACGGGUGACCUUGCUCACCACCAAUCUCAACCAACAACAGCAAUCCAACAUCAUCUUCCACCACCUCCGCUCCAACAACUACCCGUCGUCGUUGAUCAACCGCUUGCUAUGCCGAGCAAAACCGAGGGCCUCGAUAACAGAAGUCCCGCAUGAUACACCAACAACAUCCAACGUAGGCCACCUCCAAGAGUUAAACGAAGAAAACCAUCCUCACGCCGGCAGCAUCACCUCCAGAGGCUUGCAAACUCCAUUGGACCAAAACACUCCAGCCAUCCAACCCCAGCAGCGACCACCACACCACCUUCCACAACCAACGGACAGCAGCUCACCGAAUACAGAAGCAUCCCCUUCAUUGAAAAUCUCAGUCCUACAAUCGCCAACAUCCUAAAAACCGAUUUUCCACAGGUACGAAUUGCCUACAAAACAUUAAAAAACACAAAUAACAUCCUACGAUCAGUUAAAGACCCCCUCCCUAUACUCGACCAAUGCAACGUUAUUUACAGUCUAGAAUGCACAGACUGUAAACAAACAUACAUUGGAAUGACCACAAACCAGUUAAAAACUAGAAUGUCUGGACACAAGAGCAAUGUUAACCAAUACACCAAAUUAAUCCAAAGCAAUGACACACACACAAAUGAAGAAAUCCUAAGACUAGGCGAAAAAACGGCAUUAAUGAAACAUGUCAUUGAAAACAACCAUAUGUUCAAUGUUGCAAACCCAAAAAUUCUCGAUAGGGCCAAUAGAAAAUCAACACUACCAACACUAGAGAUGUGUCACAUCAUCCAUACACCUAACACAGUCAACCACCGUACAGACAUACAAGGUCUAAGUACAACGUACGCAGGACUAUUCCACACAAUUAAACAGUCCACCACACGUAGACAAACCCCAGCCAUAUCAACAAUGGAACCAAUUCCACACCUCCUAAAUGAAACCGAUGAACGUGAUCCAUAAUCACCACAAAAUUCACCAACCAUUUUGAAACGAUCGUUACCAGUGCUGUGAAGUCCAAUCAAAACUAAAUAUAUUAAAAAAAACCCUUAAAAAACAGUAAGUUAGGUAAAAUUGUGCAUCAAAUCGAAAAUAAUAACCAUAUUAUAACAGACAGGUAAUGAAAAGGCAGGCCAAACACAAAUGGUUAGGCAACUAUAUACACGGGAGACGAUAGACACUACGACCCUUGAGAAAGGCCAAAACCCUUCGGCCGAAACGU
Aedes albopictus (Asian tiger mosquito) is the source of this 1221-nucleotide long non-coding RNA. RefSeq lists it as uncharacterized. The transcript has 2 exons. Lineage: Eukaryota; Metazoa; Arthropoda; Insecta; Diptera; Culicidae. The record is from RefSeq and is a predicted model, not a curated record.